AGUGAACGCUGGCGGUAGGCCUAACACAUGCAAGUCGAACGGCAGCACAGAGGAGCUUGCUCCUUGGGUGGCGAGUGGCGGACGGGUGAGGAAUACAUCGGAAUCUACUCUGUCGUGGGGGAUAACGUAGGGAAACUUACGCUAAUACCGCAUACGACCUACGGGUGAAAGCAGGGGACCUUCGGGCCUUGCGCGAUUGAAUGAGCCGAUGUCGGAUUAGCUAGUUGGCGGGGUAAAGGCCCACCAAGGCGACGAUCCGUAGCUGGUCUGAGAGGAUGAUCAGCCACACUGGAACUGAGACACGGUCCAGACUCCUACGGGAGGCAGCAGUGGGGAAUAUUGGACAAUGGGCGCAAGCCUGAUCCAGCCAUACCGCGUGGGUGAAGAAGGCCUUCGGGUUGUAAAGCCCUUUUGUUGGGAAAGAAAUCCGGCUGACUAAUACCCGGUUGGGAUGACGGUACCCAAAGGAUAAGCACCGGCUAACUUCGUGCCAGCAGCCGCCGUAA
Molecule: ribosomal RNA, 506 nt
Filed under: uncultured bacterium
Lineage: Bacteria
Description: partial 16S ribosomal RNA
Rfam family: Bacterial small subunit ribosomal RNA
Source: RNAcentral